ACGGGAGGCAGCAGUAGGGAAUCUUCGGCAAUGGGGGGAACCCUGACCGAGCAACGCCGCGUGAGUGAAGAAGGUUUUCGGAUCGUAAAGCUCUGUUGUAAGAGAAGAACGGGUUUGAGAGUGGAAAGCUCAGACUGUGACGGUAUCUUACCAGAAAGGGACGGCUAACUACGUGCCAGCAGCCGCGGUAAUACGUAGGUCCCGAGCGUUGUCCGGAUUUAUUGGGCGUAAAGCGAGCGCAGGCGGUUGUAUAAGUCAGAAGUAAAAGGCAGUGGCUCAACCAUUGUGUGCUUUUGAAACUGUACAACUUGAGUGCAGAAGGGGAGAGUGGAAUUCCAUGUGUAGCGGUGAAAUGCGUAGAUAUAUGGAGGAACACCGGUGGCGAAAGCGGCUCUCUGGUCUGUAACUGACGCUGAGGCUCGAAAGCGUGGGGAGCGAACAGGAUUAGAUACCCUGGUA
Molecule: ribosomal RNA, 459 nt
Filed under: uncultured Streptococcus sp.
Lineage: Bacteria; Bacillati; Bacillota; Bacilli; Lactobacillales; Streptococcaceae
Description: partial 16S ribosomal RNA
Rfam family: Bacterial small subunit ribosomal RNA
Source: RNAcentral